Elaeis guineensis (African oil palm) is the source of this 516-nucleotide long non-coding RNA. RefSeq annotates it as DNA-directed RNA polymerase subunit 10-like protein. Lineage: Eukaryota; Viridiplantae; Streptophyta; Magnoliopsida; Arecales; Arecaceae. The record is from RefSeq and is a predicted model, not a curated record.
AUGAUCAUUCCCGUGCGUUGCUUCACCUGUGGAAAGGUGAUUGGCAACAAGUGGGAUACGUAUCUCGAUCUUCUCCAGGCUGAUUAUUCUGAGGGGGAUGCACUGGAUGCUUUGGGUCUAGUUCGCUAUUGCUGCAGGCGAAUGCUCAUGACUCAUGUUGACCUCAUCGAGAAGUUACUUAAUUACAAUACACUUGAGAAAACAGAUCCCAAUUAAGGCGAUAGCAGGUGGCAUGUGGAUUUUCUUCUGUCACAGUUUCUUCUUGUGGGUGGCAUGACAUCUAGUUGUAGGUCUGGUAGAGAUGUUCCGAUUUGUAUUAUAUAUUUGUUUUAGAAGUGGGUGCAUGAGACAGACAUGUGAGUUAAAGUGAAUGUACUGUGUUGAUGAUGGUUCACAAACAUUUUGUUGAAGAUACAAUUUGUUGAUGUUGGUUUAUGAAUCCUUUGAAGAUAUUAUGCCUUGGUGAUGAAUGUACUAUAUAUUAGCCCAUCAAUUUGGAGCCAUCUAUUUGAAAUU